Molecule: ribosomal RNA, 253 nt
Filed under: uncultured bacterium
Lineage: Bacteria
Description: partial 16S ribosomal RNA
Rfam family: Bacterial small subunit ribosomal RNA
Source: RNAcentral
UACGAAGGGGGCUAGCGUUGUUCGGAAUCACUGGGCGUAAAGCGCACGUAGGCGGAUCGUUAAGUCGGGGGUGAAAGCCCAGGGCUCAACCCUGGAAUAGCCUCCGAUACUGGCGGUCUUGAGUCCGAGAGAGGUGAGUGGAACUCCGAGUGUAGAGGUGAAAUUCGUAGAUAUUCGGAAGAACACCAGUGGCGAAGGCGGCUCACUGGCUCGGUACUGACGCUGAGGUGCGAAAGCGUGGGGAGCAAACAGG